CGAACGGUGGUCAGGUUCGGCAUAUUGUUUUGAUCGGGCAGAGCGAAACACCCGUGCGACGCGGGUUUGCGCGGC
Molecule: transfer RNA, 75 nt
Filed under: Paraburkholderia saeva
Lineage: Bacteria; Pseudomonadati; Pseudomonadota; Betaproteobacteria; Burkholderiales; Burkholderiaceae
Description: Paraburkholderia sp. LMG 31841 tRNA-Ile
Source: RNAcentral